CGACUGUUAGGCGCCUGUGUCCCUUCAUUUCUUGGCUGAUGUGCCAUGACCCUAUCAAGAGUGCUUGCGUGCUGCUACCAGUCAUACUGGAAGUUGCAUUCACUACAAGUUGUGUUUGCCGUGCAUGCCCUAGGGCUUUGCACGUCGACUUGAAAGCGUUCACGGCGUUGCCUCGUGUAGCUAGCUGUCUGGGCUGCUAUUACCAAGGACACCUUGUGGACGCUAUUGGUCUCGGAUGCGGCAUACGAAAAAGGCCGAUGGUGCUUUGGCGCCCCGUGCCUAGAAAAAGAUUGUCCAAUCGGAAAAAACGACAGCCGGCCUAGCUGAUGCCUUGUGCAGAGGCUUGUGCUAGCUCGUCGAUUGAGGACGUGCUACCUGGUUGAUCCUGCCAGNNG
RNAcentral lists this unclassified non-coding RNA (395 nucleotides) under Axonopus aureus. RNAcentral describes it as "partial external transcribed spacer". The record is from RNAcentral. Lineage: Eukaryota; Viridiplantae; Streptophyta; Magnoliopsida; Poales; Poaceae.